CUUAGUACAAUGGUUGCUGAACAGGUUGAACAAGCACAAGCUAGUCUUGAAUCGCUUUCUUUUUCUCAGAAGACCAUAAAUUAGCUCCUAGAGAACUUCAUUUCUAUUGAAAAGCUAUGCACAGAAUGCCAAACUUUAAUUUAAAAUCAUGAUCAGAUAAAGAUUUCUUAGUAAUGCAAUGAAUAACCUAAACACUACUUUGAAGGUGGAUGCUUCUCUUUUUUAAUUG
Long non-coding RNA from Ipomoea nil (Japanese morning glory), 229 nucleotides. RefSeq lists it as uncharacterized. The record is from RefSeq and is a predicted model, not a curated record. The transcript is spliced from 3 exons. NCBI's taxonomy places the organism in Eukaryota, Viridiplantae, Streptophyta, Magnoliopsida, Solanales, Convolvulaceae.